AAACCGUUGGAAGGGAAGCGAAUAGAGCUGACAAUUCCUCUUGUCGGAUUCAGCCGCUCCAGCAUCGCGGCGUACUUGGUUUCGAUCUUUCUAGACGAGCUUUGGACGUUUGCGUUGCCUGAACGGCGCACUUCCGCUUGGCGAAAGUCAACGUCGGUUUGCGUGAGUGUCAAAAAGCAGCAAGCACGGUAGGUCUCAUGAGAUCGGUAAGGUUUGCGUGCAAAUGACUUCAUGCAGACCGAGUUCUGUAGCAGUACGUACCUCUCCCCUCGGGGCAGGGUUGAUGUCUUCGUCGUUGAGUCGGUUUAACGUCGCUAGAUGGACGGCUUUGCCGGUGCGUCUGCGUGCGGCCGCUCAGACRAUGGGGAAAACAGACACGACGUGCUGAGGACGUUGGCAAUUCCGUGACUCUAUCCGACCCGUCUUGAAACACGGACCAAGGAGUCUAACAUGUGCGCAAGUCUCARAGUGAUCRAAACUCCUGGGCAUAAUGAAAGUGAAUGCAGUCUUGGCUGCAGAGAUGAGAGGCCUCGUCGCGAUUGUCGUGGCGGCAUCAUUGACCGACCUAUUCUACUCUUAGAAAGGUUUGAGUUAGAGCGCACCUGUUGGGACCCGAAAGAUGGUGAACUAUGCCUGAAUAGGGCGAACCCAGCGGAAACACUGG
RNAcentral lists this ribosomal RNA (664 nucleotides) under Plumarella sp. AMQ-2013. Its description in RNAcentral is "eukaryotic LSU rRNA". It matches the Rfam family "Eukaryotic large subunit ribosomal RNA", at positions 402 to 867 of the family's 3401-position model. Lineage: Eukaryota; Metazoa; Cnidaria; Anthozoa; Scleralcyonacea; Primnoidae. The record is from RNAcentral.